Molecule: ribosomal RNA, 318 nt
Filed under: Mannheimia varigena
Lineage: Bacteria; Pseudomonadati; Pseudomonadota; Gammaproteobacteria; Pasteurellales; Pasteurellaceae
Description: partial 23S ribosomal RNA
Rfam family: Bacterial large subunit ribosomal RNA
Source: RNAcentral
GUGAGACAGUUCGGUCCCUAUCUGCCGUGGGCGUUGGAGAAUUGGUUGGGGCUGCUCCUAGUACGAGAGGACCGGAGUGGACGCACCGCUGGUGUUUCGGUUGUGUCGCCAGACGCAUUGCCGAGUAGCUAUGUGCGGAAGAGAUAAGUGCUGAAAGCAUCUAAGCACGAAACUUGCCAAGAGAUGAGUUCUCCCAGUCUAUAAGACUGUAAGGGUUGUUGGAGACUACGACGUAGAUAGGCGUGGUGUGUAAGCGUUGCGAGACGUUGAGCUAACACGUACUAAUUGCCCGAGAGGCUUAACUAUACAACGCUCAAG